AGGGAUCAUUAUUGAGUUCUAUAAAAACUCCCAAACCCCUGUGAACAUACCUAUUGUUGCUUCGGCGGGAUCGUCCCAGUGCCCUUGUGGUCUGGAAUCAGGCGCCCGCCGGGGAAAUCAAACUCUGAUUUUUUUCAGUAUCUUCUGAGUGGCAUAAUGCAAAAUAAAUCAAAACUUUCAACAACGGAUCUCUUGGUUCUGGCAUCGAUGAAGAACGCAGCGAAAUGCGAUAAGUAAUGUGAAUUGCAGAAUUCAGUGAAUCAUCGAAUCUUUGAACGCACAUUGCGCCCAUUAGUAUUCUAGUGGGCAUGCCUGUUCGAGCGUCAUUUAAACCCUCAAGCCUUGCUUGGUGUUGGGGAUCAGCCUUUAUCGGCUGGCCCUGAAAAAUAGUGGCGGUCUCGCUGUAGCUUCCUCUGCGUAGUAGCACAACCUCGCUCUGGAAAGCAGCGCGGCCUAGCCGUUAAACCCCCUAUUUUAUAAGGUUGACCUCGGAUCAGGUAGGAAUACCCGCUGAACUUAA
Molecule: unclassified non-coding RNA, 520 nt
Filed under: Sordariomycetes sp. 1 KO-2013
Lineage: Eukaryota; Fungi; Ascomycota; Sordariomycetes
Description: partial contains ITS1, 5.8S rRNA and ITS2
Rfam family: 5.8S ribosomal RNA (bases 173-326)
Source: RNAcentral